Molecule: ribosomal RNA, 253 nt
Filed under: uncultured bacterium
Lineage: Bacteria
Description: partial 16S ribosomal RNA
Rfam family: Bacterial small subunit ribosomal RNA
Source: RNAcentral
GACGAACCGUCCAAACGUUAUUCGGUAUCACUGGGCUUAAAGGGUGCGUAGGCGGUCUGGUAAGUUGGGUGUGAAAUCCCUCGGCUCAACCGAGGAACUGCGCCCAAUACUGCCGGACUCGAGGGAGGCAGAGGUAAGCGGAACUUGCGGUGGAGCGGUGAAAUGCAUUGAUAUCGCAGGGAACACCAGUGGCGAAGGCGGCUUACUGGGCCUUUUCUGACGCUGAGGCACGAAAGCUAGGGGAGCGAACGGG